UGAGAACAAGAAAAGGAUGUGUGCAAGCCAGCUGGAAAAUACUUCCAUAGGAAGGCGACGACUGUUUAGCAAUGAGUAUCGUUCUGACUUGGGCUGGCAUUGGCUGCUUCGGUGGCAAGGCGAUGCUUGAUCUAACACCAGCUACUGUUUUUCAGAUCAACUUUUAGUUUUAAUGAAGUGGAAUAAAUGAUUUUGAAUUAGUUAUGCUAAAAAGAAGAAAGAACAUGGAAGUCAGUUAAUUUGACAGGUCAGGCAAAAUCUCUCACAAAUUAGCAGCACAUUUAACUGUAACGAGAUGUGAUGAGUUGAAUUUCUCAGUGUAAUGGUAUCAGCUGGAAUGGGAUUACAGCAGCCCAUGCUUGGCAGGGCAGGUUGGCUAAAGCUAUGUGGUCUUAAAUUCUUCCAGAAGCAUAACAGGUUAUAAAAGCCAGGUGCAGGGAGGUGCUUUUUUCUGAAUUAAAAAUGAACUUGAUCAGUGUGGGAGAUCUUAGCGCAUCUGGGUUUGCAAUAGCUUGGAGUGGUGCCUGAGCCAGAAGUGCUUAGCAGCUUUGCCUGGGCUUUACUGUUGGAUAUCACUUGGGUGAAAUCUUCUCAGUCUCCUCCCUUAAUGAUGUUUUAAUUUCUCUGCGUUUCCCUGAAACCUGGCAGGACUGGGAGCUGACAUGGGGCAAACCUCGCUGUGCCAACCUUGGCGCUGCCAUCUACUCACCAGGGAAAUCGUUGCUUUGGAUGACUUUGCUCAACAAGUAAAGAACAGGCGGGCUGUCCUUCCUGCAAGGUAUGCACAACAUAAUCACCUGCAGUGGGAUCAGCCAGGACUGCUGCUGCCCCAGACAGGAGGGGGCUCAGUGGGUGUGCUCCUUGUGCAGAGGAUGGGCAGGGCUGUGCUGGGAGGGGAGUGCACAGUGUGGGGUGCAGCACUGCUCGGUUGCCAGUUUGCAAACCUCAUGGCACUGCAAAUUUGGUUUGUGGUUGUUUAGAUGUAGCAAACCAUUGCUGCUUUGUGGGUUUUCAUGAUAAGUUUGCUUGUUACCUGACCGUAUUUGGUGAAACUUCCUAGUUUCCAUGCAAGAGGAUAUCCAGGGAUGUUGUGCUUUAUGUUAUUAAGGCCGUCUGCCUUAAUGAGCUUCUGGGAACACCUCAUCUUGUGUGGCAUCACAGAGGUUGAAGGCAGGAGGGGCCACCCCUGCUGUGAGAGGUGGUUGGAUUCCAACUCACGUCUCUGUCACUGGGCUCUUGAUAGAUCAUAGCAGGACAUGAUGUACAUGCAGCCAACCCAGAUGGGUGGGAGAUGUGGACAAUGCAAAUGUGCUGAGUAAGAGCUGAUCACUGCAAGGACUCCUUGUUUUCAGAUAGGAUGGGACUGACACUUCUGUUCUCGUUGUGGCAUUGAUGCGUACUUUGACAAACACCUUCACUCUUCACAAGGGAGAGGCUUGAGGUCAGCUGCUCUGAGAUGUUACCUUAAUAAGUGCUUUUGGAGACUUCCUUGUGCUUUAAGGCUUCGUAAGAACCUACGCUUUUGGUAUUCUGGCCUAGAUCUUAUCAGCUACUGUAAUGCAGUGUACAGUGAAAUUAUUUGUCUGAUGGAAAUUAUGUGUGUGCUCGAGUGCUCUGUCAAGCUGGGGCCAGCGGGAGCUAGAUGGGGAUAAGCCUCCAUUUUUCAAUCACCUUUUAUGUUGUUUUUCUCAGCUUCCAAAGUGAAUCUCAGUAAGAAUCUCUUGAAUCUCCCCUGGCCAGCACAAACAUAUAUUUAUCCUGAGUUUCUGAGGCUGUUCCUGGGCUGUUCAUUUAAGAGCCUUAUACGAGGUGCUUUUCUUCACUCCAAGGGCGCAAUGAAUUCCCAAGGAGUGGAUUUUUAAUGUGAUUUACAGAUUUGUUUUCUGCAUCCUCAGUUUUUUGCAUGUCACUUGCCUCUGUAUUUAUAAACCUGUGAUUAUGUGCAUUGUGGUGCUGUGCAAUCCCUACAAUGUGCUCACAUCAACAGCACCAAACUGUCCUUUGGUAUUUGCUUUGCAAAUGUUGGUGCAGGAUAAAUGGCACUGCAUGGGAAGAGUGCUGGUGAUGCAAGCUAGUUGGCAAUCCCCCAUCAGUCUUUGAAGUUGAACUCAUGCUGAUAUCUAGGACCUCCUCAUCCAUAUCCCAUAUGGUUUCUGCUCAUGCUGCUCAGUGUCCCAUGCAGCCACUGGUGUUCCCUGCACAGCAGAUCUUGAGGGGCAGGAGCUGAGGACAGUAUCUACCCCAUGCUCAUGUGGGUGCUUGAUUUAGGAGUGCAGCACGUGUUCCACAUGCCCAAUAAAGGCAGUGUGCCCACCUAUGCCUGCGGCCA
Numida meleagris (helmeted guineafowl) is the source of this 2329-nucleotide long non-coding RNA. The record is from Ensembl. Lineage: Eukaryota; Metazoa; Chordata; Aves; Galliformes; Numididae.